RNAcentral lists this ribosomal RNA (524 nucleotides) under uncultured bacterium. RNAcentral's name for it is "partial 16S ribosomal RNA". It matches the Rfam family "Bacterial small subunit ribosomal RNA", at positions 28 to 523 of the family's 1533-position model. The record is from RNAcentral.
GACGAACGCUGGCGGCGUGCCUAAUACAUGCAAGUCGAACGAAGCUGUUUUAACUGGUGCUUGCACCGACUUAAACAACUGAGUGGCGAACGGGUGAGUAACACGUGGGUAACCUGCCCCAAAGCGGGGGAUAACAUUUGGAAACAGAUGCUAAUACCGCAUAACCACAGAAACCACAUGGUUUCUGUGUCAAAGAUGGUUUCGGCUAUCACUUUGGGAUGGACCCGCGGCGUAUUAGCUAGUUGGUAAGGUAAUGGCUUACCAAGGCAAUGAUACGGAGCCGAACUGAGAAGCUGAUCGGCCACAUUGGGACUGAGAAACGGGCCAAACUCCUACGGGAGGCAGCAGUAGGGAAUCUUCCACAAUGGACGAAAGUCUGAUGGAGCAACGCCGCGUGAGUGAAGAAGGUUUUCGGAUCGUAAAACUCUGUUGUCAGAGAAGAACGUGUGCGAGAGUAACUGCUCGUGCAGUGACGGUAUCUGGCCAGAAAGCCACGGCUAACUACGUGCCAGCAGCCGCCGCGG